GGAUUACUUUGUUAUCCUAUAACUUUUGUGUGCAGGAAGCCAUAAAAGACCCGAGGUGGAAAGAAGCAAUGGACGAAGAAAUGAAGUCUCUUCGAAAGAAUGAAACCUGGACUUUUGUAACAGCAAGAACGAGCGUGACAGCUUGGAGCGUGAAUGUAUAAGGACACAUUAGUAGGACAAAGAUUCCCUAGAUUCGCUGAUUAGGAGAGAGAGAAAGAAAAUUUAUAAUAAAACAGUGUGUGGCAACAAAACGAUACCGUUUAUAUUUCAAUCGCCAAACCAAUUUAGGGUUUUCUCCUUUUAUGCUUAUUUCCAGUUAUUUAGAAUAUGAUAGAGAGAUACAAAAAAGGUGUGUAUACUUAUGCAUUUUUAAAGUCUCAUUGUUAUUUUCCA
This is a long non-coding RNA of Ricinus communis (castor bean), 393 nucleotides long. RefSeq lists it as uncharacterized. The record is from RefSeq and is a predicted model, not a curated record. The transcript is spliced from 3 exons. Lineage: Eukaryota; Viridiplantae; Streptophyta; Magnoliopsida; Malpighiales; Euphorbiaceae.